AGCUUUGCACAGUGGCAGUAUCAUAGCCAAUGAGGUUUAUCCGAGGCAAGAUUAUUGCUAAAAAAAUAAAAUAAAAUAAAAUCCCUUCCUUGCCUGCGGAUGCCAUCAGAGCAAGGACCAAUGGAUUUAUCCCCAUUGGUCAGAUG
This is a small nuclear RNA of Eptesicus fuscus (big brown bat), 146 nucleotides long. RefSeq annotates it as U4 spliceosomal RNA. The transcript has a single exon. The record is from RefSeq and is a predicted model, not a curated record. NCBI's taxonomy places the organism in Eukaryota, Metazoa, Chordata, Mammalia, Chiroptera, Vespertilionidae.